UCUUGAAAAAUACUUUCAUAAAAGUAUACAUAUAUCAUUUUUUAAAUAUUUAUAAAAAAAUAAAAGGUUAAAGUUGUGUUUUGGAAACCGUAUCACUGUCCUAAAUGACUUCUAAAUCUUAUAUAGAGUGAGUAUAUGCAUAAGUGCUUAGCAACUGUUCUAAUACUUUUAUAUAUGUAGUUCGUAUUCAUAACUAAAGAUCACAAUACUAUGAUAGAAAUAGGUGAGUUGAAGUCUUAUUGUGCUAUAAACUAAAAUAUUUUUUGCUUGUCUUAUGAGCCAUAUUAUUUGAGCGAACAAACAAUAAUUUUCUUUUAUAACAAUUAACAAAUCAAGCUCUUUAGUAAAACGAACACAGCCUAAAAAUUCCACUGUAUUGUGGGGGGCCACAGCCACUGCUGGGGUCUCUAGUCGACUGCGAAGGUUUCCUGUAGCAUCCGAUGGCAAUGGCAUUUUUGGGUGGAAAAUGAAUGGCUGAUCUCUAAAUUAUCGGCUAUAUCUAAGGGCGUUCUCAAUGGCAACUUUAAAAUAGGUAGCUAGAUUGGAUUUAUAAAUAAUUAAAAAACAGCACAGUAGUGGAGAGUUCUUUGAGUUUAGACUACCUCUAUUUGAUUCCUUUCUCUCAUAGCCAAUAAAAUUCUUCCUAGACUACCUAUUUGGACGCUCUAAUGAAAUACGAUACUGCUAGCGCCCGGACGUUCGGCGCCAGCAGCGCGUCCGGACGCCAAGCUCUCCACCCGCACCUAUAGAGAAAAAAAAAAUAAAACCGUCCGCCCCCAACCAACUCGGCCCGCGCGGAGGACUUUUCUUCGUCCGCUCUUCGCGCAAGGAGCCCGUCCCCAUCUCCACGAGCACGGGAUCUGCUCUGUCUCUCACCUCACUGCCCUCUAGCACAUGCGCCCACUGUCGUUCCCACAGAAAGUGACUCCCACCCCGCGCCCACACAGAGAAGAACAGCGACCAUCACGUGUAUGGAUCUGUCCGCCUCCAACUUUGCCAACCUAACACCUCUGAUCCAAGCACCAGGUCGCCACCAUAGUCUAUCCUCUAGCUACAAUAUGAAAAAGGCUAUUGCAAACAUCGAAUGACAUCUAAAAAUGCAACAUAAAGAAAAAAUUGCUAAAACAAAUGAAAAUAGCUAUUAAAACAUAAAAAAGAAUAUCUAAUGCAACAAACAAAAAUAUGAAAAUGCAACAUCAAAAAAAGUCUACUGCAACAUUCAAAACACAUCUACUGCAACAUCAGGGGAGAAUCAGCUGUAACAUUGAGAAAAAGUUAUUACAACAUCUCAAACACUACUAAUGCAACCAUAACGCACGUUGCAACAAAAAAAUCUACUGCAACAUCGGAAGAGAAUAUGCUGCAAUAAUAAGAAAAAGCUAUUACAACAUCUCAAACACUACUAAUGCAACAUCAAAAAAGCGCUUGUUACAACAAAAAAAUCUACUGCAAUAUCAAGGGAGAAUCUACCGCAACAACAAAAAAAGCAAAAUGAAACAUCUCAAGAACUGCUCUGCAACAUCAGAGAAACGUUUGUUGCAACAACCAAAAAAAGAUACCGUUGCAACAUUCCACAUCAUCUGUUGCAACAUUAAAAAUGAAUCAUUGCAGAACAACGACGAGAUCUGACUCACCGAAACACUAGCUACCACCAAACCCUUAGAUCCAGAAGGGAAAAAAGAGGAGGAGGUGCAGAAGGAGGAAGCAGAUCUAGAUACAGAUACAGUGGAAGAAAGAAGAGGGAGAGAGACCUCAGAUCUAGAUCCCUCCCUACCUACCUCGUCGGAGCCACGGCGUCGUCCUCGUCUCUAGAUGCAUAGAGGUCACAGCGCACGAGGAUGAGAGAGCAGGGAGGAAGGGAAGGCGCGUGGGCUCACCGGAAGUCGCCCGCCAUGGCCCCCACUGUGACGGCCAUGGAUGUUGUGGGGACACUACAAGAAAUGUGCCAACUUUUGACAUUUGAUAUAUGUCACAAUACCUAUAAAAUAUGUCAUAGGUCCUCAUUUAUGACACC
RNAcentral lists this long non-coding RNA (2014 nucleotides) under Sorghum bicolor (sorghum). RNAcentral describes it as "long non-coding RNA (SBIC_LNC005486)". The record is from RNAcentral. Lineage: Eukaryota; Viridiplantae; Streptophyta; Magnoliopsida; Poales; Poaceae.